CUAGUCUCUGUCCCCUCAGUCCCCUCAGUCCCCUCAGUCUCCUCAGUCCCCUCAGUCCUCUCAGUCCCCUCACUCCCCUCAGUCCUCUCAGUCCCCUCAGUCCCCUCACUCCCUUCAGUCUCCUCAGUCCCCUCAGUCUCCUCUGUCCCCUCAGUCCCCUCAGUCUCCUCUGUCCCCUCAGUCCUCUCAGUCCCCUCAGUCUCCUCAGUCCCCUCACUCCCCUCAGUCCUCUGUCUCCUCAGUCCUCUCAGUCUCCUCAGUCUCCUCACUCCCCUCACUCUCCUCACUCCCCUCAGUCCCCUCACUCCCCUCAGUCCCCUCAGUCCUCUCAGUCCCCUCAGUCCUCUCAGUCCCCUCAGUAUCCUCACUCCCCUCAGUCCCCUCAGUCUCCUCAGUCCUCUCAGUCUCCUCAGUCCCCUCAGUCCCCUCAGUCUCCUUACUCCCCUCACUCUCCUCACUCUCCUCACUCCCCUCAGUCCUCUCAGUCCCCUAACUCCCCUCCGUCUCCUCAGUCCUCUGUCUCCUCUGUCCUCUCAGUCCCCUCAGUCUCCUCAGUCCCCUCACUCCCCUCAGUCCUCUCAGUCUCCUCACUCCCCUCACUCCCCUCAGUCCCCUCAGUCUCCUCAGUCCUCUCAGUCUCCUCAGUCCCCUCAGUCUCCUCACUCCCCUCACUCUCCUCACUCCCCUCAGUCCUCUCAGUCCCCUAACUCCCCUCCGUCUCCUCAGUCCUCUGUCUCCUCUGUCUCCUCUGUCCCCUCAGUCCUCUCAGUCCCCUCAGUCUCCUCAGUCCCCUCAGUCCUCUCAGUCCCCUCACUCCCUUCAGUCUCCUCAGCCCCCUCAGUCUCCUCAGUCCCCUCACUCCCCUCAGUCCUCUGUCUCCUCAGUCCUCUCAGUCCCCUCAGUCUCCUCAGUCCCCUCAGUCCUCUCAGUCUCCUCACUCCCCUCAGUCCCCUCAGUCUCCUCAGUCUCCUCAGUCCCCUCAGUCCCCUCAGUCUCCUCAGUCCCCUCAGUCCUCUCAGUCCCCUCACUCCCCUCAGUCCUCUCAGUCCCCUCAGUCCCUUCAGUCUCCUCAGUCGCCUCAGUCUCCUCAGUCCCCUCAGUCCCCUCAGUCUCCUCUGUCCCCUCAGUCCCCUCAGUCCCCUCAGUCUCCUCAGUCUCCUCAGUCCUCUCAGUCUCCUCAGUCCCCUCAGUCUCCUCACUCCCCUCACUCUCCUCACUCCUCUCAGUCCUCUCAGUCCUCUCAGUCCCCUCAGUCCUCUCAGUCCUCUCAGUCCC
This 1275-nucleotide long non-coding RNA is filed under the name Oncorhynchus mykiss (rainbow trout). RNAcentral describes it as "lncRNA (ENSOMYG00000056212.1)". Lineage: Eukaryota; Metazoa; Chordata; Actinopteri; Salmoniformes; Salmonidae. The record is from RNAcentral.